AUUGAACGCUGGCGGCAGGCCUAACACAUGCAAGUCGAGCGGAUGAAGGGAGCUUGCUCCUGGAUUCAGCGGCGGACGGGUGAGUAAUGCCUAGGAAUCUGCCUGGUAGUGGGGGAUAACGUCCGGAAACGGGCGCUAAUACCGCAUACGUCCUGAGGGAGAAAGUGGGGGAUCUUCGGACCUCACGCUAUCAGAUGAGCCUAGGUCGGAUUAGCUAGUUGGUGGGGUAAAGGCCUACCAAGGCGACGAUCCGUAACUGGUCUGAGAGGAUGAUCAGUCACACUGGAACUGAGACACGGUCCAGACUCCUACGGGAGGCAGCAGUGGGGAAUAUUGGACAAUGGGCGAAAGCCUGAUCCAGCCAUGCCGCGUGUGUGAAGAAGGUCUUCGGAUUGUAAAGCACUUUAAGUUGGGAGGAAGGGCGGUAAGUUAAUACCUUGCUGCUUUGACGUUACCAACAGAAUAAGCACCGGCUAACUUCGUG
This 484-nucleotide ribosomal RNA is filed under the name uncultured bacterium. RNAcentral describes it as "partial 16S ribosomal RNA". It matches the Rfam family "Bacterial small subunit ribosomal RNA", at positions 30 to 507 of the family's 1533-position model. The record is from RNAcentral.